This 1329-nucleotide long non-coding RNA is filed under the name Zonotrichia albicollis (white-throated sparrow). RNAcentral describes it as "lncRNA (ENSZALG00000011065.1)". The record is from RNAcentral. Lineage: Eukaryota; Metazoa; Chordata; Aves; Passeriformes; Passerellidae.
AUGAGACAAUGCAAUUUAUGGUUCACCAAGCAGUUCACACAGCCUCCGUUCACACAGCUUCAGCCCACCCCUCUCCUGGCCAUGUGCAGAGCCAGGUGGGAUUUGCAGGGAGACAGUGAAGGGCUCUGGGGUCAGACUGGUGGUUCUGGAACCCACCCAGCUUCUCUGCUGAAAUCUUGCAGGUUGUCUCUGGCUUCACAGGGCUUGACUGUCCCCUCAGCAAUACAGCUCAAACAGUCUAGGAGCUCUCUGGGAUUCUCUGUGGCUGGAGAAGAAAUGUGGAUCCCUCCAAAUGGAAGGUUCUUUCAGUAUUUUCGAUGCUUUUUCAGAGUGGGAUGCACUCUCUCUGCCAAGGCCAUGAUGCCCUUCCCAGAAUGCAAACAUUGGACUGCCUGUGAUGCUUCCUAAAACAUUCUCAUUUUAGAAAUACCUAACUUAAUGCCAUAGAAAUCACCUGGUCUGUACUGCAAAGGGAUGUCAUGGAUUUUCUUUCUCUCUUGGAAGCAACUGGUAUGCUGCAAGAACAAGAACAUCAUGGGAAAAGAUUGUUUAUGGGAUUACUGACAGCACAGAAUGGUUGUCUGGGAUGGGAUAAAACCUUAUCUAAAGAAAAACACAGACAGAUACUUGGUGGUACAGGAAGAAAUCAAGCUGGAGGGAUGAGGGGUUCACAGGGACUGGAAUACAGAAAAUCAGGGACACUUCAGUCAACAUUUAAUGAUGGCUUGAUAUGAGAUGUGCAGGCCACUCUGCCAUGAUGGAACAGGGAGAAUGGGGACUCCUGUGAGGGUCCUGGCUUCAGCUAAAACCCCAGAACAGACAGUCGCACUGCCACUAGGCUAGACAGGACCUUGACAUGCACAAAUGGAAUAUCAUGGAGGUGGCACAGCUCCUGUAUGUGAUUUUAGUGACAUCAUCAGCAAAAUGGCACAUUCAGGUCUACUGCUUAUGCUUGAGAGUGACACUGAAAACUUGGAAAAGACUCAGGAAAGAAUGAGAAAAUUAUCCUAGGGCUAGAAAUCAUUCUCAGUGAGAGACAAAUGGAACAAGAUCUGUUUAUUUUAUCUAGUUUUUAAGAGGUGAUUUAAUUGUGGUCUGUGAGAACUAAUGUGGGGGAAUACUUUGAAUGCAAAGACUCUUUAAGAGGGCAGACAAAGACAGAAAAAUAUCCAGGGAUUGGAAAGCAAAGCUGGUGGCUGGUGGGCUUGAAACAAAGGAACUGUUUUUAACAGUGGGAAUAACUGACCAUUGGAACAAGGAGCUGAGAGAUGUGGUAAACUCUUCAUUGCAUACAGUCUUGGAAUGCAGACUGGCCAGUUUUCUGUGGAU